Molecule: long non-coding RNA, 548 nt
Filed under: Musa acuminata (dwarf banana)
Lineage: Eukaryota; Viridiplantae; Streptophyta; Magnoliopsida; Zingiberales; Musaceae
Description: long non-coding RNA (MACU_LNC004987)
Source: RNAcentral
CUUGCCGUCGAGCUUGCAGAUGAGCACCAGGACGAGCCACGCGAUUCGGUCCGAAAUCGACCGGGCGGCGGCAGAAGAGGAGGAGCUCCAAGGACUUCCCUCGAAGGAGAUGGUGGUAGAGGCUGAGGAGGGGGAGGAGUGAGAGGAGGUGGGUGACGUCGCCACAGCUGCCGCUUCGAAGAAGGAAUCCAGCAAGGGGCUCGGGGUCUGCAAGGGGAAGUCCGCGAAGAUGUCGUCGAGGGCGAGCUCGUAGUCGGCGAGGAAGACGAGGUAGUUCAUCACGUAACGGGUGAGUGGGUGGACGUCGCCGCCGGGAACUGGUGACCUGGAGGCGUCCCUCUCGAUAGCCGCCUCGAAGUCGGCCAGGGUCGACCGUGCCACCUCCGCUAGCCUGAGGAGGGAGACGACCGCCUGCGAUCGGACGGCGGCGGUGGACUCGAAGAUGAACAGCGACUCGAUAUCCGGCCAGAGCUCCACCAGGGUGUCGUAGAGAUCCAGUAUACGGAACAGCUUCUCCGGCGAUCUCUUCGAUCUCGCUGCCGACUCCG